This 431-nucleotide ribosomal RNA is filed under the name uncultured bacterium. Its description in RNAcentral is "partial 16S ribosomal RNA". It matches the Rfam family "Bacterial small subunit ribosomal RNA", at positions 29 to 507 of the family's 1533-position model. The record is from RNAcentral.
AACGAACGCUGGCGGCAGGCCUAACACAUGCAAGUCGAGCGCCCGUUCGGGGGGGCGGCGGACGGGUGGGUAACGCGUGGGGAUAUGCUCUUCUCUACGGAAUAGCCUCGGGAAACUGAGAGUAAUACCGUAUACGCCCUGUGGUGGCAAGAAUUAUCGGGGAAGGAUUAGCCCGCGUUGGAUUAGGUAGUUGGUGGGGUAAUGGCAUACCAAGCCGACGAUCCAUAGAUGGUUUGAGAGAAUGAUCAGACACACUGAGACUGAGAAACGGCACAGACUCUUCCGGGAGGCAGCAGUGCCGAAUCGUAGACAAUGGCGGCAGUCAUGAUCUAGCCAUGCCGCGAGAGUUCUGAAGGCCUUAGAGUUGAAAAGCGCUUUCAGCUGGGAAGAUAAUGACGGUACCAGAAGAAGAAGCCCCGGCUAACUCCGUG